CAUUUCUCUCUCUGUCAGUCAGCUACGUCCAAUAUCGUCAUGGAAACUCUCCUGUGCUGGGACCUUGUGUCUGUGGUCAUCAUGCUGUUCCUUGUCUCUACAGAGUCAGCAGGUGAUUCAACAAAAUAUCUGACAAAUAAAUCAGCUUCUUUGGGAGAAAAUGUUACUUUGGUUUGCAAUAACUCAGAGACGAAUGCAUCAUACAUCUGGAAGAAGGACACAGUUCUCAUUUUCUCUCAUAGUGACACACUGAAUAAAACUGAAAGAAAAUUCACCUCUGACAGGAUGAGUGUUGAUCCACCUACAAAGCUGACUAUCUUUAAUGUACAGCUAAAUGACACCGGGAGCUACAGCUGUCAAAUAACAGAUGAUCAAAGUGGUGUACGGACAAUGGAGUGGAAUAUGACCAUCACUAAUAACCUCACAGCUCAUGCUGGACAUGGCCUACGGAGGUUAUUGCUCUUCACAAUUCCAUCUGCUAUUGGAGGAGUGGUUCUCUGCAUUAACAUCUGCUGUAUGGUCUGGCU
Molecule: long non-coding RNA, 527 nt
Organism: Salvelinus namaycush (lake trout)
Lineage: Eukaryota; Metazoa; Chordata; Actinopteri; Salmoniformes; Salmonidae
Exons: 3
Source: RefSeq, a predicted model, not a curated record